Molecule: ribosomal RNA, 468 nt
Filed under: uncultured bacterium
Lineage: Bacteria
Description: partial 16S ribosomal RNA
Rfam family: Bacterial small subunit ribosomal RNA
Source: RNAcentral
GACGAACGCUGGCGGCGUGCUUAACACAUGCAAGUCGAACGGAAAGGCCCUGCUUUUGUGGGCUGCUCGAGUGGCGAACGGGUGAGUAACACGUGAGUAACCUGCCCUUGACUUUGGGAUAACUUCAGGAAACUGGGGCUAAUACCGGAUAGGAGCUCCUGCUGCAUGGUGGGGGUUGGAAAGUUUCGGCGGUUGGGGAUGUACUCGCGGCUUAUCAGCUUGUUGGUGGGGUAGUGGCUUACCAAGGCGUUGACGGGUAGCCGGCCUGAGAGGGUGACCGGCCACAUUGGGACUGAGAUACGGCCCAGAAUCCUACGGGAGGCAGCAGUGGGGAAUAUUGUACAAUGGGCGGAAGCCUGAUGCAGCAACGCCGCGUGCGGGAUGCCGGCCUUCGGGUUGUAAACCGCUUUCGCCUGUGACGAAGCGUGAGUGACGGUAACGGGUAAAGAAGCACCGGCUAACUACGUG